UAAACUGAUUUUUAAAACUCUCGAUUCAACUAACACGUAUCACGCACGCGAAUAUAAUCCUUUUUUUUAAAAUCGUAUAAUUUUUACGUACCUAUUUCAUUCAAUUUUACGCGAUGCUGCGUCAAAAUAUUACAUUAUUCUUGCUUUUAGUACUAGGUUUUGUUCACCAUGUGACCAACAAAUCCGAAAAAGUUAAACGACUUGAAAAAGAGCGAUGUGCCAGAGAACAAAAACUUCUAAAAAUGGCAAUUCGUUUAGUCCAUGGGUAUGAUGUCGACGCUUUUGAAAGAAAAUUGAACGAAAAAUUCCAACGUGAAAUUAAAAGAAUAGAAGAAGAGAAAAAUGCACAAAUCCAACAGAUAGAAGAAAAAUUCAAACAAAAAGAUGAAAAACGCCAGCAACAGUACGACCAAAAAAUGAAAGAAGUUUAUGCUGACUUAGGUUACGAUGACCUGUCAGACAAUGACUGAGCAAAGCGCGAACUGUUGGACGAGGCAAACCAUGCGAGAAAACGUACAUCAAGUCGCAUUUGCACAAAAAUGAUGAAUCGCGAAUUUCGAAAAUUUCCACGCAAACGGGAAACUUUUGAUUUUUUGGAUUUUUUAAUUAUGAAAAAAUCUGGUCAAAAAACCACUCUUGAGGUGUCACUCCCAAAAUUGGCUCAAAUGUGGAUUAAACUCGUUUAACAGGUCUAGUGUAAUACAAAACUCGAUUUUUAGCUGCCCAACUUCAUUAUUCACACCUUCUGGAGCAAAUUGAAAAUUCUGGAGAAAUUGAAAAUCGCGCUGGAGGCUCCAGAAUAGCUGGAAAUGUUGAAAUUUGGGUUCGGGUAGUUAAUAAUAGUUUUGGGACUUAUUUUGACCAUUUUUACUGAUCAAGCACGUACUUUUUUUUUUAAAAAAAGCAUAAAUCGCCAAAAACAGUCAAUUUUGAAUUUUCUAAACGUUCGCUAAAAAUCGAAAAAUGAACUUGCGCAGCUGAAAAUUUGGUUUUGGAGGUUUUAGACUAUGCUCUUUCCAAAAAUCGCGUUCCCGUUCAAAUCGGAGUGUGACACCUCAAGAGUUCCCUCGUAAGAUAGUAAUGGUUUCCAUUAGGUAACCUUUCAUUAUACAGGAAAGGAAUAUCACUGCAUGAUUUAUCUUUAGGUAUUAAGAAAUUGACUAGAUCGGUGCUCCUCUGAUUUGUAUCUGAACAAAUAAAGAAAUCUAGAACUUCUCAGGGGGAAAAUGAUCGCAUCUGAUUAGAUCUGAUCAGACCACUUUAGACUAUUGUGAAUUGUGCUUAGAUUGUAUCUGAAAAUUAACAGUUAGAAUAACAUCUGAUCUAUACUCGAGAAGUAGUGUUCGUCGGAUUUAAUGUUUCCUCGGACCGAGCUUACACCCAUCUGGUUCUACCUGUAUGCUUGCAUAUUUGUUGAGGAAAAUAAAUGAUAAAUUUUAUUACUCAAUUCAAAUUGAGAACCUGCGCGAAUCCUACAGGCUGAAGCAA
This is a long non-coding RNA of Planococcus citri (citrus mealybug), 1488 nucleotides long. RefSeq lists it as uncharacterized. The record is from RefSeq and is a predicted model, not a curated record. Lineage: Eukaryota; Metazoa; Arthropoda; Insecta; Hemiptera; Pseudococcidae. The transcript is spliced from 3 exons.